GCCAUCCCGGUAUAUCCGUUUGGCACAAUGCUGAGGCUGAGCAGGAGGAAGGUGGUGAGCUGAAACGGUCCCCAUUCCCCCAGGAACGCAGUGACUUCCUCAUAGUCCAGAGACGCCAUGAGUGCUGCAGAGUAAAGGAUAUGCGGUUAUUAAAAGAAAUGAGGAGAAGAUGGAGAGAAUCACAGCAACGCAGACAAGUAACUGUUUGGUUCAGCUCAGCCACCAAAUUCGAUCUCAGAAGACUACAGAGGGUAGUCCGG
Long non-coding RNA from Tachysurus fulvidraco (yellow catfish), 260 nucleotides. RefSeq lists it as uncharacterized. The record is from RefSeq and is a predicted model, not a curated record. The transcript has 3 exons. Lineage: Eukaryota; Metazoa; Chordata; Actinopteri; Siluriformes; Bagridae.